UCCAAAAUCUUUCAAGGCAUGCAUGAUCCAUCUCACUGCACAGCUCUAGCACUUUCGCUGUUUAAUUUUACAGCUGUUAAAAGCCAUUUUUUUUCUUCUUCUCUCUCUCCAGCACUUUUCUUUCUCUAGCACUUCAGCUGUUUAAUUUUACAGCUGUUAAAAGCCAAUUUUUUCUUUUUAUUCCUUCAAGCAGAUGAAGCACAGGACUGCACAUUCUCCAAAUCUGUCUGACUACAUGGAAGUCCCUCACUGUCAAACCCACAGAAAACAGAAUGACCUGGGAGAGAUGUCUGCCAAGUCAAUCGGUCUUGAUUAGCAGAUCAUUAAUAUUACUCUGUCCAGGACAUUUUUCUCAAGGUGAGAGGACUUGAAACAGCCAGUAAAUGCUGCGUGAAAGUUAGAAUAUUCAGCCUGAGGAACAGGAGCAGCUAAAAACCGGGAAGAGGGCGGCGAGCUCCCUACCUACGCAAGGCAGAGCAGACGACAGCCGCAGGAAAGGAAGAUCCACUACCAGAAAUGCUUCCUAGAGACCAAGAAAGAAAAGUCACUGGAAAAAGGUCACAGCAUCCCAGAGUAUCACAGGUAGCACUGAGGACUCUAAGGCAGCGAUGAACAAGAACUGAUUCAGAGCCUACGUGAUGCUGAAUUUUCCUUAUGGAACAGCAAAGGAAAAAAGAGCUCUGAGACAAAAGGGAAUUCAAUGGUGUUUACAAGAUUAAGAAGAACAACUCCUGAAGUUCUCACAUCAGUCAGAGGCUUUCAGUGAAAUUAGUCAUUUCAUCCACAGGGAUCUAAGGCAGCUUAGAUCCCCCCACACUUCUUAUUCAUAAGCUGGCUCAUUUGGAGUUUCUCAGCUUUUAAAAGAGGCAGGGGAGAUUGGAGGAGUUUAAUCUCAGCUCUGAGAAACUGCUGCUUCACCUGAGGCCUUGGCUAUCAUAAUAAUGUCAGAAUUGCAUGCCACUAAAUAUGCUUCUUCACACAUGGAAAAAACACACUUUUUCUUCCUCCCUAAUUCUUUAGAUUCUCUCAACAGAAAACAUAUAUAAGCUGAAGCAAA
Dromaius novaehollandiae (emu) is the source of this 1057-nucleotide long non-coding RNA. RefSeq lists it as uncharacterized. Lineage: Eukaryota; Metazoa; Chordata; Aves; Casuariiformes; Dromaiidae. The transcript is spliced from 3 exons. The record is from RefSeq and is a predicted model, not a curated record.